UAAGGUUGGAGGCGGUGUCGGUGGAACUCGAGAAGUUGCCAAGAACCAAACCCAACACUC
Molecule: small RNA, 60 nt
Filed under: Lupinus albus (white lupine)
Lineage: Eukaryota; Viridiplantae; Streptophyta; Magnoliopsida; Fabales; Fabaceae
Description: hypothetical ncRNA
Source: RNAcentral